Molecule: long non-coding RNA, 131 nt
Organism: Oncorhynchus keta (chum salmon)
Lineage: Eukaryota; Metazoa; Chordata; Actinopteri; Salmoniformes; Salmonidae
Exons: 4
Source: RefSeq, a predicted model, not a curated record
AGGUAUUGUAUGUACAGACAGGAAGGUAUGGUAUGUACAGACAGGAAGGUAUUGUAUGUACAGACAGGAAGGUAUGGUAUGUACAGACAGGAAUGUAUUGUAUGUACAGACAGGAAGGUAUGGUAUUUACA